UACAGAGGUCCCAAGCGUUGUUCGGAUUCACUGGGCGUAAAGGGUGCGUAGGCGGUCGGGUAAGUCUGAUGUGAAAUCUCACAGCUUAACUGUGAAACUGCAUUGGAUACUAUUCGGCUUGAGAGUUGGAGGGGGGACUGGAAUUCUCGGUGUAGCAGUGAAAUGCGUAGAUAUCGAGAGGAACACCAGUGGCGAAGGCGGCUCACUGGCCCGGUACUGACGCUGAGGUGCGAAAGCAUGGGUAGCGAACAGG
Molecule: ribosomal RNA, 253 nt
Filed under: uncultured bacterium
Lineage: Bacteria
Description: partial 16S ribosomal RNA
Rfam family: Bacterial small subunit ribosomal RNA
Source: RNAcentral